UGCCAUUUGCCAAUCGCCAUUUCUGUUUUUCUUUCUUUCAAAGUUGACAGCACGAGAGGACCCAUCUUUCUGUAUCUGAAAAUAUUUUAACAAUCGCAAGGGCCUCGAUUCUUUAGAAAUUACAAGUCUUAAGGCUUAAAGUUAUCAAAUAUGAGAGCUAAGUGGCGUAAGAAGCGCAUGCGAAGGCUAAAGCGUAAACGUAGGAAGAUGCGUGCGAGGUCUAAAUAAAAGGUACAUUCGUGAGGAGAGAAGAAUAAUAACAUUAUCUUUUACAACUUAACUUGUGUAUCAAAUAAAAAAUUUAAAACUCAA
Long non-coding RNA from Maniola jurtina (meadow brown), 312 nucleotides. RefSeq lists it as uncharacterized. The transcript is spliced from 3 exons. NCBI's taxonomy places the organism in Eukaryota, Metazoa, Arthropoda, Insecta, Lepidoptera, Nymphalidae. The record is from RefSeq and is a predicted model, not a curated record.